This 1525-nucleotide long non-coding RNA is filed under the name Apis mellifera (honey bee). Its description in RNAcentral is "uncharacterized LOC102656390, transcript variant X2". Lineage: Eukaryota; Metazoa; Arthropoda; Insecta; Hymenoptera; Apidae. The record is from RNAcentral.
UGUUUAUACUCAUAGUUCUGUUUUGUAAACGAUACGUAUAGUCGUGUAUAGAUACGUAUAAUCAAAUAUAUUCAUUCAACUGAACCCAUUUUUAUUUAUUGUUUUCACUGCCCAGUCAACAGAUUAUAGGUCCAGAUUACGAAAUAAACAAUAAACAAUUAAUAACAAUAAAUAAAGUAUAAUUAAAUUGAAAAAGCACGUGGGUUAAUUAUCCGGUCUUGAGCAAACGUGAAAUAACUCUAAUCGUGAUGAAAAAUGAAAUUUUUCGUAUUAAUAAGCUGAAAGAAUUGGAAAAUUGGAUCUCAUAGAAAUUUCAAGUGCGCGUUACUUUGAAAUUUUACGGUGCAUGGGAAAUAGAUAGAGAUGAAUCAGUUCUUCUUGUACGAGGAUGAUACGAUAAAUAGAGCAUGCGCUGCCUAGAUAAAACUCGAUAGUACAACUCCACGCAUAAUCGCUACAUCAGCGAACGAAAAACCAUUUUUGCAUAUUAUCAUUAACUGUGAAUCGGUUAAGGAUAUGUGGAAAAAGCUGAAGUCUGUUUACAACAAAAAUUUGAUACUAAUGCAUACUGUUGUAGCAAUGGUACAAUUACCAGAAAGAACUAGGUGAUGAUGUAUUAUUCACAUCAUAAAGCUCGAGAAUCUUGCACAUCAGCUGUAAACUCUGAUGCGUGGGAAUCAACUCAACUCAAAGAAAAAACUCUCACAAAUUUUAUUUCAAGACUCACCAUUGAGGAAACAAGAAUAAGAACCAAAGAAAGGACAGAAAACAUUGCCUUUACUGCUAAUAAACACCAAUGUAAAAAAAAUUUCAAAAAAGGCAACAUUAGAUCAGGAGUAUCUCAUUAUUGCUAUAAACUAGAACAUUGGAUCAAGGAAUGCAGAAACUGAAAAGCAGCAACAUCAAACGAAAAAUACACAGGAAAGAAAGGAAAGGCACUUGUUGAAGCUAUGUCUGCAAAAUAUAAUUUAGAAACAUCCAGUGAUGCACGGCAUAUGGAUUCGGGUGCGAUUGAGCACAUGUCAAAUCGUCGCGAAUGGUUCUCUUCAUAUAAAAAAUUCAACAGUAAAAAAUAUUAAGAUAGGCGAAAAUAUAUUCAAGCAAUUGGAUCAGAUAUCGACAUUCUUGCUUUUAAUAGAAAAGAUGGAUGCAACUCUUGACUACAACAAUACUCUGAUGACAAAAAAUAUACAUUCAUGAAGAAUGAAAAUAUUGUUGCAGUGGGGAAAUGGAAAGCACAAACGAAUGGUUCAUCAAAAUUUGGAUCAGAUGAAAAAAAUUCUAAGAUUCGAAAACAUUAUUUUUAAGGAUCAGAAGUUUUGCUGUGAUGAUUGCAUUCUAGCGAAAAUACACAGAUUAUUAUUCAAAAAAUGAUCAGAUUAUCAUUCAAAAAAUCUGAACGCAUUGGAAAACUCAUCCAUGCAGAUCUUUCAAUGUAAGAAAAUUUGCUUGGAGAAACUCGAUAUUUCUUAAUAAUGAAAGAUGAUUGUAAUCACUGGAAAAGUUAUAAUUUAAGCUAUAUUUA